ACGCUAGCUACAGGCUUAACACAUGCAAGUCGAGGGGAAACGACAUCGAAAGCUUGCUUUUGAUGGGCGUCGACCGGCGCACGGGUGAGUAACGCGUAUCCAACCUGCCCACCACUUGGGGAUAACCUUGCGAAAGUAAGACUAAUACCCAAUGAUAUCUCUAGAAGACAUCUGAAAGAGAUUAAAGAUUUAUCGGUGAUGGAUGGGGAUGCGUCUGAUUAGCUUGUUGGCGGGGUAACGGCCCACCAAGGCAACGAUCAGUAGGGGUUCUGAGAGGAAGGUCCCCCACAUUGGAACUGAGACACGGUCCAAACUCCUACGGGAGGCAGCAGUGAGGAAUAUUGGUCAAUGGACGAGAGUCUGAACCAGCCAAGUAGCGUGCAGGAUGACGGCCCUAUGGGUUGUAAACUGCUUUUAUAAGGGAAUAAAGUGAGUCUCGUGAGACUUUUUGCAUGUACCUUAUGAAUAAGGACCGGCUAAUUCCGUGCCAGCAGCCGCGGUAAUACGGAAGGUCCGGGCGUUAUCCGGAUUUAUUGGGUUUAAAGGGAGCGUAGGCCGGAGAUUAAGCGUGUUGUGAAAUGUAGACGCUCAACGUCUGCACUGCAGCGCGAACUGGUUUCCUUGAGUACGCACAAAGUGGGCGGAAUUCGUGGUGUAGCGGUGAAAUGCUUAGAUAUCACGAAGAACUCCGAUUGCGAAGGCAGCUCACUGGAGCGCAACUGACGCUGAAGCUCGAAAGUGCGGGUAUCGAACAGGAUUAGAUACCCUGGUAGUCCGCACGGUAAACGAUGGAUGCCCGCUGUUGGCCUGAAUAGGUCAGCGGCC
RNAcentral lists this ribosomal RNA (825 nucleotides) under uncultured bacterium. RNAcentral's name for it is "bacterial SSU rRNA". It matches the Rfam family "Bacterial small subunit ribosomal RNA", at positions 33 to 848 of the family's 1533-position model. The record is from RNAcentral.